RNAcentral lists this ribosomal RNA (253 nucleotides) under uncultured bacterium. RNAcentral describes it as "partial 16S ribosomal RNA". It matches the Rfam family "Bacterial small subunit ribosomal RNA", at positions 524 to 776 of the family's 1533-position model. The record is from RNAcentral.
UACGUAGGGGGCUAGCGUUGUUCGGAAUUACUGGGCGUAAAGCGCACGUAGGCGGCUCAGCAAGUUAGGGGUGAAAUCCCGGGGCUCAACCCCGGAACUGCCUUUAAGACUGUUGGUCUGGAGUCCGAGAGAGGUGAGUGGAAUUCCGAGUGUAGAGGUGAAAUUCGUAGAUAUUAGGAAGAACAUCAGUGGCGAAGGCGGCUCACUGGCCCGGUACUGACGCUGAGGCGCGAAAGCGUGGGGAGCAAACAGG